GACGAACGCUGGCGGCGUGCUUAACACAUGCAAGUCGAACGGAAAGGCCCUGCUUUUGUGGGUUGCUCGAGUGGCGAACGGGUGAGUAACACGUGAGUAACCUGCCCUUUACUUUGGGAUAACUUCAGGAAACUGGGGCUAAUACCGGAUAGGAGCUCCUGCUGCAUGGUGGGGGUUGGACAGUUUCGGCGGUUGGGGAUGGACUCGCGGCUUAUCAGCUUGUUGGUGGGGUAGUGGCUUACCAAGGCUUUGACGGGUAGCCGGCCUGAGAGGGUGACCGGCCACAUUGGGACUGAGAUAGGGCCCAGACUCCUACGGGAGGCAGCAGGGGGGAAUAUUGCACAAUGGGCGGAAGCCUGAUGCAGCAACGCCGCGUGCGGGAUGACGGCCUUCGGGGUGUAAACCGCUUUCGCCUGUGACGAAGCGUGAGUGACGGUAAUGGGUAAAGAAGCACCGGCUAACUACGUG
RNAcentral lists this ribosomal RNA (468 nucleotides) under uncultured bacterium. Its description in RNAcentral is "partial 16S ribosomal RNA". It matches the Rfam family "Bacterial small subunit ribosomal RNA", at positions 28 to 507 of the family's 1533-position model. The record is from RNAcentral.